RNAcentral lists this ribosomal RNA (253 nucleotides) under uncultured bacterium. RNAcentral's name for it is "partial 16S ribosomal RNA". It matches the Rfam family "Bacterial small subunit ribosomal RNA", at positions 524 to 776 of the family's 1533-position model. The record is from RNAcentral.
GACGUAGGGCGCGAGCGUUGUCCGGAUUUAUUGGGCGUAAAGAGCUCGUAGGCGGUCUGUCGCGUCGGAUGUGAAAACCCGGGGCUUAACCCCGGGCCUGCAUUCGAUACGGGCAGACUCGAGUGUGGUAGGGGAGACUGGAACUCCUGGUGUAGCGGUGAAAUGCGCAGAUAUCAGGAAGAACACCGGUGGCGAAGGCGGGUCUCUGGGCCACUACUGACGCUGAGGAGCGAAAGCGUGGGGAGCGAACAGG